UAGGGAAUAUUGGUCAAUGGGCGAGAGCCUGAACCAGCCAUGCCGCGUGCAGGAAGACGGCCUUCUGGGUUGUAAACUGCUUUUAUAUGGGAAGAAAACGGCCUUGCGAGGCAAAUUGACGGUACCAUAUGAAUAAGCACCGGCUAACUCCGUGCCAGCAGCCGCGGUAAUACGGAGGGUGCAAGCGUUGUCCGGAUUUAUUGGGUUUAAAGGGUACGUAGGCGGCCAAUUAAGUCAGUGGUGAAAGCCAGCAGCUCAACUGUUGAACUGCCAUUGAUACUGAUUGGCUCGAGUUCUGUUAAGGUAGGCGGAAUUGAUGGUGUAGCGGUGAAAUGCAUAGAUACCAUCAGGAACACCGAUUGCGAAGGCAGCUUACUAGGCAGAAACUGACGCUAAUGUACGAAAGCGUGGGGAUCGAACAGG
Molecule: ribosomal RNA, 423 nt
Filed under: uncultured bacterium
Lineage: Bacteria
Description: bacterial SSU rRNA
Rfam family: Bacterial small subunit ribosomal RNA
Source: RNAcentral